Molecule: ribosomal RNA, 492 nt
Filed under: uncultured bacterium
Lineage: Bacteria
Description: partial 16S ribosomal RNA
Rfam family: Bacterial small subunit ribosomal RNA
Source: RNAcentral
AGUGAACGCUGGCGGUAGGCCUAACACAUGCAAGUCGAACGGCAGCACAGUAAGAGCUUGCUCUUACGGGUGGCGAGUGGCGGACGGGUGAGGAAUACAUCGGAAUCUACUUUUUCGUGGGGGAUAACGUAGGGAAACUUACGCUACUACCGCAUACUGCCUACGGGUGAAAGCAUGGGAUCUUCGGACCUUGCGCGAUUGAAUGAGCCGAUGUCGCAUUAGCUAGUUGGCGGGGUAAAGGCCCACCAAGGCGACGAUCCGUAGCUGGUCUGAGAGGAUGAUCAGCCACACUGGAACUGAGACACGGUCCAGACUCCUACGGGAGGCAGCAGUGGGGAAUAUUGGACAAUGGGCGCAAGCCUGAUCCAGCCAUACCGCGUGAGUGAAGAAGGCCUUCGGGUUGUAAAGCCCUUUUAUUGGGAAAGAAAAGCAGCAGGUGAAUACCCCGCUGUUCUGACGGUACCCAAAGAAUAAGCACCGGCUAACUUCGUG